AGAUUGGGCGCUGCAUGUAAGGGUGCCCCACGGAUCGCCAGGGUUGAUUCGGCUGGUCUGGCUGGCUAGGCAGUGCCCCCUUCCUCCCUCACUGCUCCAUCUGCAUCCCUCCCAAAGCUGCAUGCUUGGUUGAAGAGGCUAACCAUCCCCCAUAAAGGAAGACCAUUUCCUUGGUCAAGGGUAUAGGAGUAGCUGCACUCCCCUACUAGAACCUCCAACAAGCUCUCAGGAUUAGGUGCAACAUUAAUUUAGUUUCUUUAUUGAAAAGCUACUUGGAUCCUUU
Molecule: non-coding RNA, 283 nt
Organism: Heterocephalus glaber (naked mole-rat)
Lineage: Eukaryota; Metazoa; Chordata; Mammalia; Rodentia; Bathyergidae
Source: Rfam